RNAcentral lists this ribosomal RNA (530 nucleotides) under uncultured bacterium. RNAcentral's name for it is "bacterial SSU rRNA". It matches the Rfam family "Bacterial small subunit ribosomal RNA", at positions 981 to 1509 of the family's 1533-position model. The record is from RNAcentral.
UUGACAUACUAAGAACUUUCCAGAGAUGGAUUGGUGCCUUCGAGAACUUAGAUACAGGUGCUGCAUGGCUGUCGUCAGCUCGUGUCGUGAGAUGUUGGGUUAAGUCCCGCAACGAGCGCAACCCUUUUCCUUAUUUGCCAGCGGGUCAUGCCGGGAACUUUAAGGAUACUGCCAGUGACAAACUGGAGGAAGGCGGGGACGACGUCAAGUCAUCAUGGCCCUUACGGCCAGGGCUACACACGUGCUACAAUGGUCGGUACAAAGGGUUGCUACCUCGCGAGAGGAUGCUAAUCUCAAAAAGCCGAUCGUAGUCCGGAUCGCAGUCUGCAACUCGACUGCGUGAAGUCGGAAUCGCUAGUAAUCGCGGAUCAGAAUGCCGCGGUGAAUACGUUCCCGGGCCUUGUACACACCGCCCGUCACACCAUGGGAGUUUGUUGCACCAGAAGUAGGUAGUCUAACCGCAAGGAGGACGCUUACCACGGUGUGGCCGAUGACUGGGGGUGAAGUCGUAACAAGGUAGGCGUAGAUGA